AAAAAAAUGACUGUGAGCAGCAGCAUUGUGUUGUAGAAUCACAAUCACUAUAUUACAGUAAUCUCAUGUAAAUGUGCACAUUUAUUGUAAUAAUGUGAUGUGCACAGUAUUGUGCUAGCACUUAGGUUCUCUGCUGCAUGUGUUUGAGUCAUGUGUGCUUUCCAGUACUUGUUCCUGAUAGUCAGUCUUGUCCGUCAGUCUUGUAAGCCUUAUGGCAGGAGUGUCCAAUCCUGUUCCUAGAGGGCCAACAUCCUACAGAGUUUAGUGCCAGCCCUAUUUAAAACACCUGGCCCAGCUAAUUAAUUUUGCGCUACUGGUUGUCAUCCAACCCGACUUAGCAAACAUGAUGGCGGCCUUGGAACGGGAGUCAUCAAAGAUCGGGGUUGGAAUCAGUGGCUCAAAAACCAAAAUAAUGCACAUCAGAUAUGCCCGUGGACAUUUACCCAUAACCAUCGGUCAACAGCGAAUUGAAGAGGUUAAUCGAUUUACCUACCUGGGCUGCGUCAUCUCGGCGGAUGGCAACACAGACCACGAUGUACAGCAAUGGUCAUGCGAUGCCUCCAACCACUUUGGUGCAUGAACACCAUCACCCUCGAGACCAGGGUACAGCUGCUCAACUCCAUCGUCAUUCCAGUGGCUACCUAUGCCAGCGAAACUUUGAAAAUGACAGCCAUAACCAUCCACCAUCUUAAUACUUUCCAACAACGAUGCCUUAGGCGCAUCCUGAAGAUCACAUAUCAAGAUUGGGUGACCAAUGAGGAAGUGCAUCGCCGGACGUCGACUUGCCUGCUAGCGCAAAUCGUGGUCCUUCAGUGUGGUUUGCCAAACAGGUUCUCUGAGAGCUGCCAACCAGGCUCCUGCGAAUGGCCAUGCUUUGGAACCCACAGCAAGGAAGAAGGAAGCAAGGAUGCCCCAAGAUCACGUGGUGAAGGACAUUCAGUGAGGAUCUCAGAGGCGUCAACCUCUCUUGGAACGAAGCCGCAACCAUCGAGCCGAUCGAGCACAAUGGAGAUCGCUUGUCGCCCAAUGCGCCGAACGGCGCGGGAGGAUCUAAGUCCAAACCUGUGAGAGUCUACGCUUGAUGACAGGAAGGCAACGGAAGCGUUAAGGCUUGUUUCUACAUGACAGAGUGAUUCAGAUGGACCCUCCAUUACACCACUGGCUGCAUUCCAACAUCAUCUUACUAUAUUUAAUUUUUCUAAAAAUAAAAUCUAAAAAGUUCAAUUAAAUCA
Molecule: long non-coding RNA, 1232 nt
Organism: Cyprinus carpio (common carp)
Lineage: Eukaryota; Metazoa; Chordata; Actinopteri; Cypriniformes; Cyprinidae
Source: Ensembl